GUUAUUGUCAUGACAAUUUUAAUGUUAAUUAACAUGGAAUGUCACUUUGGACUCUCUUUGUAUAUUGUUAUAUUAUACAUUUAUAUUUAUUCGAACAUUGAUAGAUACCAUAUCAUUGUGAACUAUGAAUGAUUGGGGAAGGAACAACAGGCUUGAAGCCCAAAACUGUUGCUCUCCCAAAUUUGCAAACUUAUUGUUUAAUGUUAUACAUUUUUGGUUGUAUACUUGACGUUCUCUGUUCAAUAAAUUUGAUGGCAAUAAAAUCCUAUCCAUUUAUUUAUGAUUGACUUGAAUUUAUUGUAUUGUUUGUUGCAGACAAAGAAGGAGAGGUCGUGUGGGGUCGGCUGGGCGGCUACCCCUUUUGGUGCGCCAGAGUAGCCGCCGACGAGUCAGGCAACUUCAAGCGCCAACGAGGCCGAGUGCAGGAAGUGAGGGUCGAGUGGCUGGCGGAUGGCCGCCACUCGUGGCUAGCCACUUCGGCCCUCAGGGCAUUUGACCCCCACGGCAACCCCCACCAACAACUGCACAGUGACAUUGAGAACAACCCGGGCCACAAUAAAAAAA
Molecule: long non-coding RNA, 564 nt
Organism: Nilaparvata lugens (brown planthopper)
Lineage: Eukaryota; Metazoa; Arthropoda; Insecta; Hemiptera; Delphacidae
Exons: 3
Source: RefSeq, a predicted model, not a curated record